GUCUCAGUUUGCCUCUCUAAACCCUCAAAAUAGCUAAAAUCAUACAAGAACCAGACAGCCGCAUACCCACAACCUCAAAUCGGCAACGCUUUUUCUCAUCCAAUCCAACUCGUCGGCGCCGCUCUCUAAUUUCGUCUCUUCCAAUCCAUCCUCAAAUCGGCGGCUCACUUAUAUCCAAUCCAACUCGGCGGCGCUUCAACUCUUCCUGUACGACUCGGUGGCACUUCUUUUCUGCCAUUCUAAAUCGGUGGAACCACCCACAAUCUUCAGGCUUACAAACACUUGUUUUAAUAAGUGCGUUGAGAAAAGGUACAAGGAGUCUGAACUAAAUAUGGGUGAAAAUAGUUGCAUUGAUCGCUGCGUAUCAAAAUAUUGGCAUGUGACUAAUCUAAUCGGCCAGCUGCUAGGUUCAGGUCGGCCCCAAAUGUGAAAUUAAGGCUAUUCUGAAAUUUGCUCUACAUUAGUUACGUGUUUACCUGGCUGGUUGCCAAAGGUUGAUACUGGAAUGAUUUUUGUUUGUACCAAACUUUAUGACGUGGUUCCAUUUUGUUUUUUUAAAAAAAAGUAUUGGCAGCAAGUUGAAUUUAUGCUGCUCCUAGAUUUAAGUCAUAAAAUUGUUAGCUCUUCAUAAAUGAAAUAUUAUUCUUGGAAAAAUCAUCAGUAUUUGUGAUGAUUCUAUAACAUGUUGAAUUGUUUUU
Quercus robur (English oak) is the source of this 698-nucleotide long non-coding RNA. RefSeq lists it as uncharacterized. Lineage: Eukaryota; Viridiplantae; Streptophyta; Magnoliopsida; Fagales; Fagaceae. The transcript is spliced from 4 exons. The record is from RefSeq and is a predicted model, not a curated record.